RNAcentral lists this ribosomal RNA (344 nucleotides) under uncultured Fusibacter sp. RNAcentral's name for it is "bacterial SSU rRNA". It matches the Rfam family "Bacterial small subunit ribosomal RNA", at positions 1039 to 1382 of the family's 1533-position model. The record is from RNAcentral. Lineage: Bacteria; Bacillati; Bacillota; Clostridia; Eubacteriales; Fusibacteraceae.
UGGUGCAUGGUUGUCGUCAGCUCGUGUCGUGAGAUGUUGGGUUAAGUCCCGCAACGAGCGCAACCCUUGUGUUUAGUUGCAAACAGGUCAAGCUGUGCACUCUAGACAGACUGCCGUGGACAACACGGAGGAAGGUGGGGAUGACGUCAAAUCAUCAUGCCCCUUAUGAUCUGGGCUACACACGUGCUACAAUGGCCGGUACAACGGGCAGCGAAGGAGCGAUCCGGAGCGAAUCCUAAAAAGCCGGUCCCAGUUCGGAUUGCAGGCUGAAACUCGCCUACAUGAAGUUGGAGUUGCUAGUAAUCGCGAAUCAGAAUGUCGCAGUGAAUGCGUUCCCGGGUCUU